CAAAACAUAUGAGAGUCAUGGUAAGAAAGAAUAUUUUUAUUUGAAACAAGAAACAAGAAUCAUUUAAUUAUUUUGAAACAAAAAACAAGAAACAAGACAACCAUUUUCUCUUCACUUUCUUUUGGAACAAGACCAUCGUUUUCUUUAAAUGCAUGCAUGUGUGAUGUUUUUCUUCUCUUCAUGUUUUUUUUUUUCAUUUUCUUUCUUCACUUCUUUCUUCAUUUUCUUUCUUCACUUCUUUCUUCACUUAUUUCUUCAUUUUCUUUCUUCACUUCUUUCUUCACUUCUUUCUUCACUUUCUUUUAGCACAAACAUGAAACAAGACAACCAUUUCCUCUUCAUGUUUUUCUUCACUUUCUUUUGGAGUACUUUUUCAACCAUCACUGGUAUCAAUAACCCUUCUAGUUUCAACCUAUUUCCUAGAACCAACCCAAAAAUAAUUCAAGUAUCAAAGAAUGUGGAAACAUAUUGUUAUGAUCAAACAAUUGAUCAUUUUUCUUAUAGACCUUUAAGCUAUUCAAAGUUUAAACAACGCUAUUUUGUGAAUUUCAAGUAUUGGGACGGUGCUAAUUAUAGUGCCACAAUACUUGUCUUUUUGGACGGGGAAAGUUCAAUAAAUGGUAUUCCUUAAUUUUUUUAAUCUAUUAGUAGAUGAUACAUAGUAAUAGAUAAAAAUAAAUGCUCUUAUAGUCAUUAAAUUCUCACUAUUAAACUAAUCACCAAUUAAUAUGAUAAGAGUAAAUCAAAUUUCCUUUAAAGUAGAUCAUAAGAGUCCUCCUUAGUCUUUACACAAGCUCAUCAACAUAAUAUUGAGCAAUUCAUCUUUUUCUUAUCUUCACUUCUUUCUUUUGGAACAAAACCCCCCAUUUUCUUUAAAUGCAUGCAUGAUGUUGUUAUUCUCUUCAUGUGUUUCUUCACUUUCUUUUAGCACAACCAUUUUCUCUUCAUGUUUUUCUUCACUUUCUUUUGGAGUUCUUUUUCAACCAUCACUUGUAUCAAUAACUCUACUCAUUUCAAUCUAUUUCCUACAACCAACCAAACAAAAAUUCAAAUAUCAAAGGAUGUGGAAACAUAUUAUUAUGAUCAAACAAUCGUUCAUUUUUCAUAUACACCUUUAAGCUAUACAAAGUUCAAACAACGCUAUUUUGUGAAUUUCAAGUAUUGGUGGAUCUAAUUGUAGUGCUCCAAUACUUGUCUUUUUGGGUGGAGAAAGUUCAACAGAUGGUAUUCCUGAUGGAUUUAUGACCGAUAAUGCUGCUACCUUCAAAACAUUAUUCGUGUACAUAGAGCAUCGAUACUAUGAUUGAUGAAUCUAUGCCAUUUGGUUCAAUAGACGAAGCUUACAAAAAUAUAAGCACUUUGGGUUAUUUAAACUCAACACAAGCUCUUGAAGGAAACGUUAUAGGCUCAAAAGUCUCCUGCCAUCGUGAUAGGAGGAUCCUAUGGUGAAAUGCUUGCUGCAUGGUUUAGGUUGAAAUAUCCCCACAUCGCGAUUGGAACUUUGGCGUCAUUAGCUCCACUUCUCUAAUUUGAUAAUAUCACACCACAAAAUGCAAAGCAUAUUAUGAUGUUGUUUCAAGGGAUUUCAAGGAAGCCAGUAAGACAUGCUACAAAAAUCUUGGUCUGUAAUUGACAAAGUAGCGUCUCAGCCAAAUGGUCUUUCUAUAUUAAGCUAGAGAUUCAACACUUGCUAUCCCUUGGAAAAGUCUGAUGAGUUGAAAGAGUACUUGCAAUUAAGUUACGUAUAUGAGGCCAUUCUCAGUCAAAUAUAUUGAGGUGUUGUGGCUUUAGCAGAAUAUGGCAAAUGCCAUGUUAAUUUCGAUAAAUAUGAUAACAAUGCACAUAAAUACUUCGGUUGGGAUUGACAGGUAUGUACUGAAAUGGUAAUGCCUGUUGGCAUAGGAAAGGGUACCAUGUUUCAACCCGGCACUUUUAACUUGAAGAAAUUUGUUCUACAAAAAGUUUGGUUACUCCAAUUUGUCUCGUUCUCAUUGGAUCACUACUUAUUAUGGAGGCCAUGUAUGAAAUAUUGUUUAAAUAGUAAGAUUAUAUUAUUAGCAACAUAAAACUAAUAGAGCUAUUCAUUGCUUGACUAAUGGAAGAAUAUAAGUUUGGUUCUUCAAAAAAUUUGCUAGCAACAUCAUAUUUUCGAAUGGACUAAAAGAUCCUUACAUUAGUGUCAGAGUUCUGAAUGACAUAUCAACAAGUCUUGUGGCCCUUCAUAUAGUAAAUGGAUCUCAUGUCUUGGAUACUCUAGGUGCUGAUAAAAACGACCAAAAAUAGUUGGUCGAUCAGCGAAAGAAAAAGGUGAAGAUAAUGAAAAGAUGAAUAGCUGAAUAUUAUGCUAAUGAACUUGUGUAAAGAUUAAGGAGGACUAUGUUUGUUGAAUUUUUAUUCAAAUUCUCUGGUAGAAAUAACUUUUGGGCAAAACCAAUUGCCUCUUGUUAAGGUGUAGUAUCCAUUGCCAGUGAAUAAUAUUUCUUAGGGCGCGUGAGAUACAUGAUUAUAUUUAUAAAUAUAUUUCUAUUUA
Molecule: non-coding RNA, 2530 nt
Organism: Cicer arietinum (chickpea)
Lineage: Eukaryota; Viridiplantae; Streptophyta; Magnoliopsida; Fabales; Fabaceae
Source: RefSeq, a predicted model, not a curated record